This 253-nucleotide ribosomal RNA is filed under the name uncultured bacterium. RNAcentral describes it as "partial 16S ribosomal RNA". It matches the Rfam family "Bacterial small subunit ribosomal RNA", at positions 524 to 776 of the family's 1533-position model. The record is from RNAcentral.
UACGUAGGGGGCAAGCGUUGUCCGGAUUUAUUGGGCGUAAAGAGCGUGUAGGCGGCCAUACAGGUCCGUUGUGAAAACUCGAGGCUCAACCUCGAGACGUCGAUGGAAACCGUAUGGCUAGAGUCCGGAAGAGGAGAGUGGGAUUCCUGGUGUAGCGGUGAAAUGCGCAGAUAUCAGGAAGAACACCCGUGGCGAAGGCGGCUCUCUGGGACGGUACUGACGCUGAGACGCGAAAGCGUGGGGAGCGAACAGG